CAGUAGCCACGGUAAUACGGAGGGAGCUAGCGUUGUUCGGAAUUACUGGGCGUAAAGCGCACGUAGGCGGUUAUUCAAGUCAGAGGUGAAAGCCCGGGGCUCAACCCCGGAACUGCCUUUGAAACUAGAUGACUGGAAUCUUGGAGAGGUCAGUGGAAUUCCGAGUGUAGAGGUGAAAUUCGUAGAUAUUCGGAAGAACACCAGUGGCGAAGGCGACUGACUGGACAAGUAUUGACGCUGAGGUGCGAAAGCGUGGGGAGCAAACAGGAUUAGAUACCCGCGUAGUCCCUGUCUCUUAUAC
RNAcentral lists this ribosomal RNA (301 nucleotides) under uncultured bacterium. RNAcentral describes it as "partial 16S ribosomal RNA". It matches the Rfam family "Bacterial small subunit ribosomal RNA", at positions 509 to 807 of the family's 1533-position model. The record is from RNAcentral.